Molecule: long non-coding RNA, 688 nt
Organism: Bombyx mori (domestic silkworm)
Lineage: Eukaryota; Metazoa; Arthropoda; Insecta; Lepidoptera; Bombycidae
Exons: 2
Source: RefSeq, a predicted model, not a curated record
AUAGCUAAAGUCAAACACUAUUUGAGUAACAUUAAUGGUAAUCAAAGAAAAAAAUCCUUAAGAAUGAAUUUUCUAGAAUUAACCAGCCUUUUCCUCGAAACGGUUUUUCAAUCAUAAAAAAGGUCAAUGAUCGUUAUAUACUUAUUUCUAUGGCGUUUUAAAAAGCGCAAAGACUAACGUCAAAAAAUGAAAUUUACUAUUUGUACGUCAACGCGGUAUUACAAUUCGUGUCCUAAAGCCUUCAAAAUUAUUACAACCGAACGUUCCUUCUAGAAUAUUUAUGAAUAAAACAGUAUACGUAUAAUGGCUAAAAUAAAUAAUACAUUCAACACGGGGGAGAUCGUUUUGUCUGCAAUCAAGAAACUCAUGAAAAACACUGGCUGGACAACUCGUACCAUCAUUAAGUUUAUUAAAUUAGAAUACAGUAUCUCUGACCCCAAGAUAAAUCGAAAGGUAUCCAGGACAUUGAAACGUGGUGUCAGGCUCGGCUUGCUUCAAAUGGAACGAGGCCGCUAUAGACUGAACGAAAUGUCAUGUCUAGCGAGAAAAGUUAAUUCACAUGAGGCUAGGAAGCGCUACCGACCCAAGCUACGUGCGAAAACAUUGCGCAUAAAAUGUAGCCGAUCGUUUUCAGGGCAGCCACGACAGGAUUAUAUAAAUUGAAUUAAAUUGUUGCCAUUUAAUAAAA